AUUGAACGCUGGCGGCAUGCCUUACACAUGCAAGUCGAACGGCAGCACGGGAGCAAUCCUGGUGGCGAGUGGCGAACGGGUGAGUAAUACAUCGGAACGUGCCCAAUCGUGGGGGAUAACGCAGCGAAAGCUGUGCUAAUACCGCAUACGAUCUACGGAUGAAAGCAGGGGACCGCAAGGCCUUGCGCGAAUGGAGCGGCCGAUGGCAGAUUAGGUAGUUGGUGGGGUAAAGGCUCACCAAGCCAACGAUCUGUAGCUGGUCUGAGAGGACGACCAGCCAAGUGGGGAGUGAAGCAGGCCCGAGACCCCUAGGGGAGGGGGCAGGGGGGAUUUUGGGAAAAGGGGGGGAGGCUGGACCAAGCCGGGCGGCGUGAAGAGUGACGGCUUUGGGUUGGAAAUCUUGUUUUGUGCGAAAAAAACCGGCUUUUUCAAAAAAAGAGGGCAAAGGAGGGAACGGAAAAAAGAAGCCCGGGCUAACUAGGGG
RNAcentral lists this ribosomal RNA (484 nucleotides) under uncultured bacterium. RNAcentral's name for it is "partial 16S ribosomal RNA". It matches the Rfam family "Bacterial small subunit ribosomal RNA", at positions 29 to 507 of the family's 1533-position model. The record is from RNAcentral.